UACGGAGGGCGCAAGCGUUGUUCGGAAUUACUGGGCGUAAAGCGCGUGUAGGCGGCUUGGUAAGUCGGAUGUGAAAGCCCGGGGCCUAACCCCGGAACUGCAUCCGAUACUGCCUCGCUAGAGUCUCGGAGAGGAUGGCGGAAUUUCCGGUGUAGAGGUGAAAUUCGUAGAUAUCGGAAGGAACACCAGUGGCGAAGGCGGCCAUCUGGACGAUGACUGACGCUGAGACGCGAAAGCGUGGGGAGCAAACAGG
Molecule: ribosomal RNA, 253 nt
Filed under: uncultured bacterium
Lineage: Bacteria
Description: partial 16S ribosomal RNA
Rfam family: Bacterial small subunit ribosomal RNA
Source: RNAcentral